RNAcentral lists this long non-coding RNA (703 nucleotides) under Sorghum bicolor (sorghum). Its description in RNAcentral is "long non-coding RNA (SBIC_LNC006848)". Lineage: Eukaryota; Viridiplantae; Streptophyta; Magnoliopsida; Poales; Poaceae. The record is from RNAcentral.
GUAUCAACGGCCUGCCACCCUCUGGCCGGCGUGCAGCCUGUCCAGGAGGCGCCAGUCUAGACCUGCCACUGCUGGCCGGCGGCCGCAUUGAGCUUGCCCAGGAGGCGCCAGACCAGAACAGGAGCCGCCCAGGCCAGCAAAGGAGGCCACGGUGGGCAAACAGCCAAGUUACGGCGUUGUUUAAAUCAACCAGGGGCAUAAAUGUCAUGUUAAGUCUUAAUUACAUGAAUUAGAUAUGAAAAAUGCUUUAAAACAAAAGAAAUCAUAUAAUAGCAAAGUGUAAACGUUUCGGGUCAUAUUAUAGCGAUGUCUACAUUUGGAGUCAUAUAAUAGCGAAGCACAAUGUUUCAAGUCAUAUAAUUGCAAAUUUCUCUCAGGCUUUAAACACGCGGCAUCAACUAACCCACUCGCCGCAGUCCGGGUUCGAACCCUUCUAGCUAGCAAAAAAAAUAAAAUCACAAAAAAAGAACGAGUGGUGAGGCAGGCGAAGAGGCGCAACAAGGCCAAGGGUUGCCAGCACGUGCGGGAGGCCACCUGCAACCUCCAUGACUCCAUCGUUCCACGGGCAUGUAGUCGCUCCAGGCGGCAGAUGAGUUGGGGCGGAGCCACGCAGGCCACUGGCUACUACACGCCGAGGAUGUCUAGGCACCACGCUGCCAUGGGUGGAGCUCCUCCCUUCGCUCGCUCGAAUCCCCGCGGCCCC